UUUUUUCUUUCUUUCGUCUCUCUUUAGAAUUUAGAUUAUGUGAACUGAGGAAAGAGGAGAGAGGUAUGGUGGUCUUUUAUACAAGCAAAACAACUAAAUCAA
This 102-nucleotide small RNA is filed under the name Arabidopsis thaliana (thale cress). RNAcentral's name for it is "ATSL045940". Lineage: Eukaryota; Viridiplantae; Streptophyta; Magnoliopsida; Brassicales; Brassicaceae. The record is from RNAcentral.